AUUGAACGCUGGCGGCAGGCCUAACACAUGCAAGUCGAGCGGAUGAAGGGAGCUUGCUCCUGGAUUCAGCGGCGGACGGGUGAGUAAUGCCUAUGAAUCUGCCUGGUAGUGGGGGAUAACGUCCGGAAACGGGCGCUAAUACCGCAUACGCCCUGAGGGAGAAAGUGGGGGAUCUUCGGACCUCACGCUAUCAGAUGAGCCUAGGUCGGAUUAGCUAGUUGGUGGGGUAAAGGCCUACCAAGGCGACGAUCCGUAACUGGUCUGGGAGGAUGAUCAGUCACACUGGAACUGAGACACGGUCCAGACUCCUACGGGAGGCAGCAGUGGGGAAUAUUGGACAAUGGGCGAAAGCCUGAUCCAGCCAUGCCGCGUGUGUGAAGAAGGUCUUCGGAUUGUAAAGCACUUUAAGUUGGGAGGAAGAGCAGUAAGUUAAUACCUUGCUGUUUUGACGUUACCAAAAGAAUAAGCACCGGCUAACUUCGUG
Molecule: ribosomal RNA, 484 nt
Filed under: uncultured bacterium
Lineage: Bacteria
Description: partial 16S ribosomal RNA
Rfam family: Bacterial small subunit ribosomal RNA
Source: RNAcentral